Molecule: ribosomal RNA, 275 nt
Filed under: uncultured bacterium
Lineage: Bacteria
Description: partial 16S ribosomal RNA
Rfam family: Bacterial small subunit ribosomal RNA
Source: RNAcentral
GCGUGAGUGAUGAAGGCCCUAGGGUUGUAAAACUCUUUCGGCGGGGACGAUAAUGACGGUACCCGUAGAAGAAGCUCCGGCUAACUUCGUGCCAGCAGCCGCGGUAAUACGAAGGGGGCUAGCGUUGUUCGGAAUUACUGGGCGUAAAGCGUGCGCAGGCGGUUUUCCAAGUCAGUGGUGAAAGCCCGGAGCUCAACUCCGGAACUGCCAUUGAAACUGUUGAACUUGAGUACGAGAGAGGUGAGUGGAAUUCCCAGUGUAGAGGUGAAAUUCGU